CAGCAGCCACGGGAAUACAGAGGAUGCAAGCGUUAUCCGGAAUGAUUGGGCGUAAAGCGUGCGCAGGCGGUUAUAUAAGACAGAUGUGAAAUCCCCGGGCUCAACCUGGGACCUGCAUUUGUGACUGUAUAGCUAGAGUACGGUAGAGGGGGAUGGAAUUCCGCGUGUAGCAGUGAAAUGCGUAGAUAUGCGGAGGAACACCGAUGGCGAAGGCAAUCCCCUGGACCUGUACUGACGCUCAUGCACGAAAGCGUGGGGAGCAAACAGGAUUAGAGACCCCCGUAGUCCCUGUCUCUUAUAC
RNAcentral lists this ribosomal RNA (301 nucleotides) under uncultured bacterium. RNAcentral's name for it is "partial 16S ribosomal RNA". It matches the Rfam family "Bacterial small subunit ribosomal RNA", at positions 509 to 807 of the family's 1533-position model. The record is from RNAcentral.